This 602-nucleotide long non-coding RNA is filed under the name Brassica napus (rape). RNAcentral describes it as "long non-coding RNA (BNAP_LNC001921)". Lineage: Eukaryota; Viridiplantae; Streptophyta; Magnoliopsida; Brassicales; Brassicaceae. The record is from RNAcentral.
CUGGAGUGGACUUUCAAUAUUUUUCCAUACAAAAGGAUUGGGCUUACAUUAAUGAGAUGUCAAAUGUCAAAUUUAAGGGGGUUCAUAUUCAUAAAAACACAUAACCAUAACUGAUUUUUUAAACUACUGGUGUGUCAAGUGACACCCUAUUGGUCCAUGUACAUCCGCCUCUGUAUACUCUCAAUAUGGAUAGCACACAGCUCCGCUUCUGUACGUAUAAGCACCUUCACGAGACUUAUACUGGACAUAAAAUGUUGAAAUGAACAAUACUGUAGUCGCCGUAAGAGCAAUGGUGAGAAACGCGAAAUCACCAUGCAUGAGCCAUAUAGGUCUAACAAACUGUGACACCUCGGUAGUAAGAAUGUCUGGCUCAUCACCGGAUGAUUUCAGUGUUAUCAGACACAUGAAUCUUAGCCACUCUUGAUAAGGACGCCAAUGCAAUCCAACGACAUACACGAUCGAACUCUCUUAGAACAGUUGUAAACUGAUAUGAGCCUGUCGCCUAGCCUGACCUCGAGUAACCGAAGCCGUAGCUUGUAAGUAAGAAAUAAAGAACUUGUUUGCAAAAGUUUCCUUUAACCCUAGUCUCUCUUGAGAAUAAG